GGAGAGAUGGCUCAGCAGUUAGGAGCACUGGCUGAUGAUCCAGAGGACCUGGGUUCAAUUCCCAGCACCC
This is a non-coding RNA of Neotoma lepida (desert woodrat), 70 nucleotides long. NCBI's taxonomy places the organism in Eukaryota, Metazoa, Chordata, Mammalia, Rodentia, Cricetidae. The record is from Rfam.